Molecule: non-coding RNA, 840 nt
Organism: Aegilops tauschii subsp. strangulata
Lineage: Eukaryota; Viridiplantae; Streptophyta; Magnoliopsida; Poales; Poaceae
Source: RefSeq, a predicted model, not a curated record
GCCGGUUGGACGACCUAAGACCGUGAAGUACGAGGAUUGGGACGAUAAAGACGACCCACUACGGCUCCCCACUUGGGCUUACAAGUGGGAUGUGUUAAAUGAGACGACGGAUGAUCCCUCUGUAAUGUACAAGUUGUACAAGAGCGAGCUGGACGCGAUCACGCCUGAGCAGGUGGAAUGGGAGCCGUAUGGAAAAGGAGAGAGUUUUGGUAACCCUAUAGAGUUCAGGCUUAGUCCGAUGUGCAUUAGGGAUAGGGAUCUCUGGCAUAUGCGGUGCCCACUGAUAUGCAACUGGGCGGUUGAGCUUCACCUGCCACAUCGGGUUUUCCGCCAGUUUGGUUUGUUCCAGCCACACCCGCCGGAGUGGGAGGACACGGACAAGUUGCUACACGCGUAAGAUAUAAUUAACCUUGAGCACUUAGCAGCUUCUCGACGGUUUCGAUGAUGCUAAUAUCUUGUUUCUAACUUGCAGGUUGGAUAGGAAAAAGCAGCGGAAGAUUAAGGAUUGGGCCAGCCAUCACAGGAAGUAUGUCGUGCAGUUCGCUCUUAGUGUGGAGCAAGCAAGGGCUGGAAAACAAGCCCAACUUCGUGAGCACUGCCCGAUCGCGUCAACAACUAUCUCGCAUGGUUUCUUGCAAGUACCCGCGUGGAGGUAUGCCAGCCGGCGUAUGCUGAGGAGAUUCUGGAAGAACCCACCGUUUUUGAUGAGGUAGCCCAGCACCAGUACAACGCAUUAGUCAGGAAAGGCAACUCGGUGAUCCCUUCAGCUCCAAUGAUGAACUUUGUGCGUGCCCAGAUCAAGAAAGCAGCUGACGAGACCGAGACUAUUCUGGAAACAAC